Coccidioides immitis RMSCC 3703 is the source of this 94-nucleotide small nucleolar RNA. It matches the Rfam family "A. fumigatus snoRNA Afu_455". The record is from Rfam. NCBI's taxonomy places the organism in Eukaryota, Fungi, Ascomycota, Eurotiomycetes, Onygenales, Onygenaceae.
GAUUAUGAUGACUAUUACGACAUGCAAAGGCAUUCCUCAAACUUAAUCACCAUGUGGAAUCUGUCAUGUUAUCAAGUUUCAGCCUUGUCUGAUC